Molecule: ribosomal RNA, 482 nt
Filed under: uncultured bacterium
Lineage: Bacteria
Description: partial 16S ribosomal RNA
Rfam family: Bacterial small subunit ribosomal RNA
Source: RNAcentral
AUUGAACGCUGGCGGCAUGCUUUACACAUGCAAGUCGAACGGUAACUGCACUUCGGUGGCUGACGAGUGGCGAACGGGUGGGUAAUACAUCGGAACGUGCCUAGUAGUGGGGGAUAACUACUCGAAAGAGUAGCUAAUACCGCAUGAGAUCUAAGGAUGAAAGCAGGGGACCUUCGGGCCUUGCGCUACUAGAGCGGCUGAUGGAAGAUUAGGUAGGUGGUGGGAUAAAAGCUUUCCAAGCCGACGAUCUGUAGCAGGUAUGAGAGGACGACCAGCCAGACUGUGAGUGAGAAUGAGCCGAGACUCUUACAGGAGGACACGGUGCGGAAUCUUGGGGGAUGGAGCCAAGCCUGAUCCAGCAAUACCGCGGGCAGGAUGAAGGCCUUCGGGUUGGUGACUGCUGAUGUACGGAGGGAAGAACCCUCUUCUAAUACAGGAGGGUCAUGACGGUACCGUAAGAAUAAGCACCGGCUAACUACGUG